This 467-nucleotide ribosomal RNA is filed under the name uncultured bacterium. RNAcentral describes it as "partial 16S ribosomal RNA". It matches the Rfam family "Bacterial small subunit ribosomal RNA", at positions 28 to 507 of the family's 1533-position model. The record is from RNAcentral.
GAUGAACGCUGACAGAAUGCUUAACACAUGCAAGUCAACUUGAAUUUGGGUUUUUAACUUAGGUUUGGGUGGCGGACGGGUGAGUAACGCGUAAAGAACUUGCCUCACAGCUAGGGACAACAUUUGGAAACGAAUGCUAAUACCUAAUAUUAUGAUAAUAGGGCAUCCUAUAAUUAUGAAAACUAUAAGCGCUGUGAGAGAGCUUUGCGUCCCAUUAGCUAGUUGGAGAGGUAACGGCUCACCAAGGCGAUGAUGGGUAGCCGGCCUGAGAGGGUGAUCGGCCACAAGGGGACUGAGACACGGCCCUUACUCCUACGGGAGGCAGCAGUGGGGAAUAUUGGACAAUGGACCGAGAGUCUGAUCCAGCAAUUCUGUGUGCACGAUGAAGUUUUUCGGAAUGUAAAGUGCUUUCAGUUGGGAAGAAACAAAUGACGGUACCAACAGAAGAAGUGACGGCUAAAUACGUG